CCUUCGAUAGCUCAUUUGGUAGAGCGGAGGACUGUAGAUCCUUAGGUCGCUGGUUCGAAUCCGGCUCGAAGGA
This 73-nucleotide transfer RNA is filed under the name Saccoglossus kowalevskii. RNAcentral describes it as "tRNA-Tyr". It matches the Rfam family "tRNA". From Rfam's summary of the family: Transfer RNA (tRNA) molecules are approximately 80 nucleotides in length. Their secondary structure includes four short double-helical elements and three loops (D, anti-codon, and T loops). Further hydrogen bonds mediate the characteristic L-shaped molecular structure. tRNAs have two regions of fundamental functional importance: the anti-codon, which is responsible for specific mRNA codon recognition, and the 3' end, to which the tRNAs corresponding amino acid is attached (by aminoacyl-tRNA synthetases). tRNAs cope with the degeneracy of the genetic code in two manners: having more than one tRNA (with a specific anti-codon) for a particular amino acid; and 'wobble' base-pairing, i.e. permitting non-standard base-pairing at the 3rd anti-codon position. Lineage: Eukaryota; Metazoa; Hemichordata; Enteropneusta; Harrimaniidae. The record is from RNAcentral.